Long non-coding RNA from Mesoplodon densirostris (Blainville's beaked whale), 1429 nucleotides. RefSeq lists it as uncharacterized. The record is from RefSeq and is a predicted model, not a curated record. Lineage: Eukaryota; Metazoa; Chordata; Mammalia; Artiodactyla; Ziphiidae. The transcript is spliced from 3 exons.
CCGGGGCUGGCCUCGCUCCGGUAGCACGCACUCACUUCUUUACCUUGGCCGCGGCGGGCAUCGGACUUGCAGCACGUGCACACCUAGAGGAAGACCCGACAGUCAAUCUGAUUGUUUUCGUUGCUGUGCGGUGUGCCUACACCGGUGAAGGACCAUGGUAUUAUCACUAUUUCAGCCUGACAACCCCACCACAUGCGAUCACGAAUUGGCUCACUUGAUGAUGGAGGCCCAGAAGUCUCAUGAUUUGCCAUCUGCAAGCUGGAGAUCCAGGGAAGCUGGUGGUUUAAUCCAGUCCAAUUCCAAAAGCCUGAGAACCAGGAGUACUAAUGUCUACGAGCAGGAGAAGAUUGAUGUCCCAACUUAAACAGAGAAUAAAUUCUCUCUUCCUCUAGGUUUUUGUUCUAUUCAGACCCUCAGUGGAUUAGAUAAGCUGACCUGCAUUGGUGAAAGCAAUCUUCUUUAUUUAGUCUACCAAUUCAAAUGCUAAUCUCUUCUGGAAACACCCUCACAGACUUAUGCAGAAAAUUUGUUUACCCAUAUCUAGGUAUCCCUUAGCCUAGUCAAGUUGACAUGUAAAAUUCACCAUCACAACUCAGGACCUCCAGAGUUCAUGGAGGACCCAUGUGUUAGGAUCUAAGUGGUCAAUGCAUCACACUUCCUUUUUCCCCACCUGUGUACAUAACAAGUCUCUUUUCUCCACCCAAGUUCUGAACCAGUGGAGAUAGAUAAAUGAGGCAGACGGCAACAGUCACCUUUAUAACUGAUAAAGACCAUACUGGAAGGUAUGGCUUCGGUGUGCAGCCACCAUGGACUUCCUAACAGGAUGGUGGGGUGUAUUUUUGGCCAUGCCACACAGCUUGUGGGAUCUCAGUUCCCUGACCAGAGAUUGAACCUGGGCCAAGACACUGAAAGAGUGGAGUCCUAACCACUAGGGUACCAGGGAUCUCCUUUUUUUUUUUCCAAACAGGAAUUUCAGAAUUAGACUGACUCACUACCCCAUCAUAAUUAUCAGUGGCAAACCAUAGGCCUCUCACUCAUGGGAGGUGUACCUCUGUAAAACAUAUAGAAAGGAACAGAUCCAAGUGGGUGCUCUCUGCACCUGGGGGAGAGGGAGUGAAAGCUGAGUGGAGAGAGGCCAAGAGUGUUAGUAAUAGGGCUUCUGUCCUAAGAAAGAAAACAUCAGGAAUGUGGAGAAAGUGGUCCCCCAAUACCAUGUUCUUUUUUUUUAAUAUUUAUUUAUUUAUUUGGCUGCAUCAGGUCUUAGUUGUGGUAUGCAGAAUCUUCUUUGCCACGUGUGGAAUUUUUAGUUGUGGCAUGUGGGAUCUAGUUCCCUGACCAGGAAUGAAACCCAGGCCUGCUGCAUUGGGACUGUGAAGUCUUAGCCACCGGACCACUGGGGAAGUCCCAAUACCAUGUUCUACUUUGUUUU